CCUACGGGUGGCAGCAGUGGGGAAUAUUGCACAAUGGGGGGAACCCUGAUGCAGCGACGCCGCGUGGGUGAAGGAGCACCUCGGUGCGUAAAGCCCUAUCGGCAGGGAAGAAAGGCGGGCGGGGCCCGUCUGGACGGUACCUGACUAAGAAGCCCCGGCUAACUACGUGCCAGCAGCCGCGGUAAUACGUAGGGGGCAAGCGUUAUCCGGAUUCACUGGGUGUAAAGGGAGCGUAGACGGCGGAGCCAGUCUGGAGUGAAAGCCCAGGGCCCAACCCCGGGACUGCUCUGGAAACUGUGCGGCUUGAGUACGGUAGGGGCAGGCGGAAUUCCUGGUGUAGCGGUGAAAUGCGUAGAUAUCAGGAGGAACACCGGCGGCGAAGGCGGCCUGCUGGACCGUGACUGACGUUGAGGCUCGAGAGCGUGGGGAGCAAACAGGAUUAGAUACCCCUGUAGUC
This 457-nucleotide ribosomal RNA is filed under the name uncultured bacterium. Its description in RNAcentral is "partial 16S ribosomal RNA". It matches the Rfam family "Bacterial small subunit ribosomal RNA", at positions 338 to 795 of the family's 1533-position model. The record is from RNAcentral.